Molecule: long non-coding RNA, 569 nt
Filed under: Gossypium barbadense (sea-island cotton)
Lineage: Eukaryota; Viridiplantae; Streptophyta; Magnoliopsida; Malvales; Malvaceae
Description: long non-coding RNA (GBAR_LNC014573)
Source: RNAcentral
ACCAUUGUUUCAACAUGAAGGUUUGUAAUAAAAAUUUGUUUCUAUCAGCAUUGCUUUGCAUUGCUGUUGCAGGAGUUUUGGGUCAAGCUCCUAGUAAUCCUCCUACGUCUACGCCGGCGCCACCCACACCACCGGCUUCUACUCCUCCUCCGACGACUCAAGCACCGCCUACACCAACCGCCACUCCGCCACCGGUUUCUACUCCUCCUCCCACUUCAUCACCGCCCCCAGUGACAGCUUCUCCACCCCCAGUUUCAACUCCUCCACCCAGUUCUCCUCCUCCUGCAACUCCACCACCUGCUUCUCCUCCUCCUGCAACUCCACCUCCAGCUUCUCCACCUCCUGCCACUCCUCCACCAGCUUCUCCACCUCCCGCCACUCCACCACCUGCAACCCCACCGCCAGCAACUCCUCCUCCUGCUACCCCACCACCAGCUCCAUUGGCUUCUCCUCCAGCCACAGUCCCAGCUAUCUCUCCAGUACAAACACCAUUGACAUCGCCACCAGCUCCGCCGACCGAGGCCCCAGCACCUACCCUCGGGGCUGCUACGCCAGGUCCAGCUGGAACU